CAAUAGCGUAUAUUAAAGUUGUUGCGGUUAAAAAGUUCGUAGUUGGAUUUCUGCCAAGGACGACCGGUCCGCCCUCUGGGUGAGUAUCUGGCUUGGCCUGGGCAUCUUCUUGGAGAACGUUGCUGCACUUCGCUGUGUGGCGCGGUAUCCAGGACCCUUACUUUGAGGAAAUUAGAGUGUUUCAAGCAGGCUUUCGCCUUGAAUACAUUAGCAUGGAAUAAUAAGAUAGGACCUCGGUUCUAUUUUGUUGGUUUCUAGAGCCGGGGUAAUGAUUAAUAGGGAUAGUUGGGGGCAUUCGUAUUUAACUGUCAGAGGUGAAAUUCUUGGAUUUGUUAAAGACGGACUGCUGCGAAAGCAUUUGCCAAGGAUGUUUNCAUUG
This 379-nucleotide ribosomal RNA is filed under the name uncultured eukaryote. RNAcentral's name for it is "partial 18S ribosomal RNA". It matches the Rfam family "Eukaryotic small subunit ribosomal RNA", at positions 592 to 975 of the family's 1831-position model. The record is from RNAcentral.